Molecule: long non-coding RNA, 382 nt
Organism: Sphaerodactylus townsendi
Lineage: Eukaryota; Metazoa; Chordata; Lepidosauria; Squamata; Sphaerodactylidae
Exons: 2
Source: RefSeq, a predicted model, not a curated record
CUUCCUUUCUUCCACCAUGUUAAAGAGGACCCGGGAGGACACCGCAAUGGUGAUGGCAUUUUGGGGCUUGGGCUACGAGAGAGGAUUCAAUGCAUCUUAAAAUGACUCCUUCGCACUAAAAGACGCUUUAAUCCUGAACUAUGAAGCGUGUGAACUUGAGCAGCAAGCCCUAUAACGGAACGGAAUGGGAUUGUACUUCAGUGUAAACGUGCGUCUGCACAGUGGCCACCCUGCAGAGAAGGAAGCCCCAGUUUGUAUGGCGCCAAGCUUCAGCACCAUACACACCGGAUAACAAUUGUUUCUCCCUGUUUGAGUCAUUUUUGUAAUUAUUAGACAUUUCUUGAUACAGUACACAGCACCACAUAUGAUUGAAUUGUAUUUU